UACGGGGGGGGCAAGCGUUGUUCGGAAUUACUGGGCGUAAAGGGCUCGUAGGUGGCCAACUAAGUCAGACGUGAAAUCCCUCGGCUUAACCGGGGAACUGCAUCUGAUACUGGAUGGCUUGAGUUUGGGAGAGGGACGCGGAAUUCCAGGUGUAGCGGUGAAAUGCGUAGAUAUCUGGAGGAAUACCGGUGGCGAAGGCGGCAUCCUGGACCAUUACUGACGCUGAGGCGCGAAAGCUAGGGGAGCAAACGGG
RNAcentral lists this ribosomal RNA (253 nucleotides) under uncultured bacterium. Its description in RNAcentral is "partial 16S ribosomal RNA". It matches the Rfam family "Bacterial small subunit ribosomal RNA", at positions 524 to 776 of the family's 1533-position model. The record is from RNAcentral.